GUCCACUGACGGCACUAUCGCCCUACAGGUUACCUGACCAUAUAGCUAGAUCUGGGCAAAAGUAGGCCUAUGGUUUCAUACCUGUCACUGAAACGGAUGUCGGCUUUGUAUACAAUGAUGAACGGGUUACUCAUCAAACACUUUGCGCUCCAGUUACAUUUCAAAGUGACGGAAAUUACAAAAUGUUACAGAUCGCUGCAAUCGUUGUCAACAGGGACAAUAUUCUAACAGUCUCAAGUUCUCAACCAUAGGUUGGAAACCGGAUCUGUCAGUGUCACUUCAUGUGUGUCACGGUACUCACUAAAGGUAGCCAAAGGUGUUCGAACACGAUGGCCAGAGUGAAAUGUGAAUAUUUUGUUUCUCUCUUGUUUUUUUCAGUUGAUAUAUGAUGCUUAGAUCAUGUUUCAACCUUCUGAUAUGAAUGACUAUUUAGCGGAAGUAAAUAAAGAUUCAAGAUCAUCCAUCUAUCUUAUUAAAGUAGUGGUUCACGAAAUCGAACAAUUACCUAGACACCACACUUUUGUGGGCUGAAACCGAAUCCAGGUAUAAUUGAUGACUGCCGAGUGAAAAAAGUUUCUAUAAGGCUCGUGUUGUCAGUGCUAACUAAUCAUAUCUAUAUAUUCAAAAUUCCCUUGGAUUGACUGUAGUAGAUUGCAGAGCUGGACUACAUUAACAAGAACUGUCUACUGAAAGGAGAACUAAGGUUGCGGAGGAUGGAGGACAAAGGUUCAAAACCAGAAGGAGGACUACCUUUCCGUAAAGGAGGAUGUCUGGCCACCCUAUGCCAUUGGAACUGCAGAACCAGUCCUUACAUACUUUACAAAGUACAUCUUGGCUACAAACGUGACCCAUAGAGGCAGUAGGUAAUGAUAAAUUAAGAAAGUUAGUUAUGAAAGAACUAGAUACUAUUUAAUUAAUGUAUGACUGAUCAGUUUAUGAUCACUAACUAGACCUCAAGUCACAAAAUAACUUGAACUAAAGUAGUUAAAAAAACAUAUGCUUAUAACCAUAAGUUUGAUAUGUAAUAACAGUACAAGCCAAGAACAUGGGCUGUACAUAAUUUGUAGUGAUUUACUCCAAAUAAUCAGAAUCAUCAACACUGUAUAAUUAUGCAAGAAAAUCACUUAA
Long non-coding RNA from Macrobrachium nipponense, 1128 nucleotides. RefSeq lists it as uncharacterized. The transcript is spliced from 3 exons. NCBI's taxonomy places the organism in Eukaryota, Metazoa, Arthropoda, Malacostraca, Decapoda, Palaemonidae. The record is from RefSeq and is a predicted model, not a curated record.